UACGUAGGGUGCAAGCGUUGUCCGGAAUUAUUGGGCGUAAAGAGCUCGUAGGCGGUCUGUCGCGUCUGCUGUGAAAACUCAGGGCUUAACCCUGAGCUUGCAGUGGGUACGGGCAGACUAGAGUGCGGUAGGGGAGACUGGAAUUCCUGGUGUAGCGGUGAAAUGCGCAGAUAUCGGGAGGAACACCGGUGGCGAAGGCGGGUCUCUGGGCCGUAACUGACGCUGAGGAGCGAAAGCAUGGGGAGCGAACAGG
This 253-nucleotide ribosomal RNA is filed under the name uncultured bacterium. RNAcentral's name for it is "partial 16S ribosomal RNA". It matches the Rfam family "Bacterial small subunit ribosomal RNA", at positions 524 to 776 of the family's 1533-position model. The record is from RNAcentral.